GAUGAACGCUGGCGGCGUGCCUAAUACAUGCAAGUCGAGCGAACAGACGAGGAGCUUGCUCCUCUGACGUUAGCGGCGGACGGGUGAGUAACACGUGGAUAACCUACCUAUAAGACUGGGAUAACUUCGGGAAACCGGAGCUAAUACCGGAUAAUAUAUUGAACCGCAUGGUUCAAUAGUGAAAGACGGUUUUGCUGUCACUUAUAGAUGGAUCCGCGCCGCAUUAGCUAGUUGGUAAGGUAACGGCUUACCAAGGCGACGAUGCGUAGCCGACCGGAGAGGGGGAGCGGCCACACUGGAACGGAGACACGGUCCAGACUCCUACGGGAGGCAGCAGUAGGGAAUCUUCCGCAAUGGGCGAAAGCCUGACGGAGCAACGCCGCGUGAGUGAUGAAGGUCUUCGGAUCGUAAAACUCUGUUAUUAGGGAAGAACAAAUGUGUAAGUAACUAUGCACGUCUUGACGGUACCUAAUCAGAAAGCCACGGCUAACUACGUG
Molecule: ribosomal RNA, 497 nt
Filed under: uncultured bacterium
Lineage: Bacteria
Description: partial 16S ribosomal RNA
Rfam family: Bacterial small subunit ribosomal RNA
Source: RNAcentral